GGUAUUUUGACCGUGCAAAGGUAGCAUAAUCAUUAGUUUUUUAAUUGAAAGCUGGAAUGAAAGGUUGGAUGAAAAAUAAGCUGUCUCUAUUUAAUUUUAUUAGAACUUUAUUUUUAAGUAAAAAAGCUUAAAUUUUGAUAGAAGACGAGAAGACCCUAUAGAGUUUUAUUUAUUUUUUAAAUAAGAUUAAUAGUAUUAAUUAUUUUUAUUUAAAAAACGAAUUUAGUUGGGGUGAUUGAAAAAUUUAAUAAACUUUUUUUAUAUAUAUACAUUAAUAUAUGAUUAAUUGAUCCUUAAUUUAAGAUUAAAAGAUAAAAUUACCUUAGGGAUAACAGCGUAAUUUUUUUUGAGAGUUCUAAUCGAAAGAAAAGAUUGCGACCUCGAUGUUGGAUUAAAAUAAAAUUUUGGUGUAGAAGCUAAAA
RNAcentral lists this ribosomal RNA (422 nucleotides) under Laparocerus seriesetosus. RNAcentral's name for it is "partial 16S ribosomal RNA". The record is from RNAcentral. Lineage: Eukaryota; Metazoa; Arthropoda; Insecta; Coleoptera; Curculionidae.